GGUUUAUGAACUUGUAUAGUGUAUAUUUUGAAAAUAUAAAAAAGGAAAUUUCCUAUAAACCU
This 62-nucleotide transfer RNA is filed under the name Elateroidea sp. 8 KM-2017. Its description in RNAcentral is "tRNA-Ser". Lineage: Eukaryota; Metazoa; Arthropoda; Insecta; Coleoptera. The record is from RNAcentral.